CAGUAGCCGCGGGAAUACGAGGGGAGCUAGCGUUGUUCGGAAUUACUGGGCGUAAAGCGCGCGUAGGCGGCUUUUUAAGUCAGAGGUGAAAGCCCGGGGCUCAACCCCGGAAUUGCCUUUGAAACUGGAAAGCUAGAAUCCUGGAGAGGUCAGUGGAAUUCCGAGUGUAGAGGUGAAAUUCGUAGAUAUUCGGAAGAACACCAGUGGCGAAGGCGACUGACUGGACAAGUAUUGACGCUGAGGUGCGAAAGCGUGGGGAGCAAACAGGAUUAGAUACCCCUGUAGUCCCUGUCUCUUAUAC
This 301-nucleotide ribosomal RNA is filed under the name uncultured bacterium. Its description in RNAcentral is "partial 16S ribosomal RNA". It matches the Rfam family "Bacterial small subunit ribosomal RNA", at positions 509 to 807 of the family's 1533-position model. The record is from RNAcentral.